Molecule: long non-coding RNA, 542 nt
Organism: Esox lucius (northern pike)
Lineage: Eukaryota; Metazoa; Chordata; Actinopteri; Esociformes; Esocidae
Exons: 5
Source: RefSeq, a predicted model, not a curated record
UGGAGGGAUCGGUGGUGUAGCGGAGGUGUCGUAUGGAGGUGUCGGUGGUGUAGCGGAGGUGUCGUACGGAGGUGUCGUAUGGAGGGAUCGGUGGUGUAGCGGAGGUGUCGUAUGGAGGUGUCGUAUGGAGGUGUCGGUGGUGUAGCGGAGGUGUCGUAUGGAGGUGUCGGUGGUGUAGCGGAGGUGUCGUAUGGAGGUGUCGUAUGGAGGGAUCGGUGGUGUAGCGGAGGUGUCGUAUGGAGGGAUCGGUGGUGUAGCGGAGGUGUCGUAUGGAGGGAUCGGUGGUGUAGCGGAGGUGUCGUAUGGAGGUGUCGGUGGUGUAGCGGAGGUGUCGUAUGGAGGUGUCGUACGGAGGUGUCGGUGGUGUAGCGGAGGUGUCGUAUGGAGGUGUCGGUGGUGUAGCAGAGGUGUCGUAUGGAGGUGUCGUACAGAGGUGUCGGUGGUGUAGCGGAGGUGUCGUAUGGAGGUGUCGUACGGAGGUGUCGGUGGUGUAGAGGAGGUGUUGACAGUAAUUUUACCACAGACGACUGGGAGGAGAACAG